CAAUCCCAUCCGCCCGCGCACCGCGCCCAUCCUCCGAAACGUGAGGGUUCCGCCAACUCUCCGCAUCGUCUCCUCCCUGCUCCCUCCUCUCCCACGUCGCUGCCCUCAAGCCCGCGCCCCUCCACCUCAUCUCCUCUCCGCUCCCUCCUCUCCAACGCCGCCGCCUUUGAUGCGCCGUUAGGGACGCCGUCGACACUACGUAGCGGUGGAGCUCAGUCCACUCCUAACCCUAUUCGCUCGAUUGACAAGACCAGGGCGACAGAUUGGAUCUAGGGCGCCCGCAUGGCCUCGCCGCCGCCGCCGGCUGGAUUCGCUAGCCGCCGCUUGGAGUCACCCUGGCUGCCGCCUCGAGUCACAUCCGUCGCCGCCGCGAAUCAGCUCCACCGUUGCGGUCAGGAAUCCCGUCCAGGCAAGGAAUUUGAUUGACGGAGGCAUCACUAUCUGGCGCUGGAUUAUACAUCACGUUCUGCACUCGCUCCGCAGAUGGGAGGAAACAGUGACGACAAGGCAGUUGUUAUGCAGAUAAUGAUGUUUUUGACUGGAAUCAACACCCUUCUACAGAGUUUCUUUGGUACACGAUUGCCUGCGGUGAUUGGUGGAUCAUACACCUUUGUUCUACCUACCAUUUCGAUCAUACUUGCGGGACACUACACCAACGAACCAGAUCUACACACUAUAUGUUGAAAAGAAGGAAUUCCUCAAAAUCAUGCGUGGAACACAAGGUAUCGCAAGGCAUUCAGGUUCUCUUUAUAGCUUUCCUACACAGGAACAUAUUGCAAAAUUAAGAUACAUAACAUUGUUCCUGACUUAUGAAAGACGGUCGUUCUACCUACAGGUCUGCCUUAUAUCUACAGGUAUAUCCAUGCAUUCUUUAUUCUUUUUUUGCAGUGACCUACUGAUCUUCGUGAUUUAGUUUAGUGCUAGAGUUAGCAAAAUCUACUGAUCUUAUGUCUUUGUCAUGUUCCCCUUGUUUGGGUGGUCUACCUUUGGCUAUGAAUGUACGUAUAUUAUUGUCAUGUUCCCCUUAUCCCUGCAUCACUGAACAAUGCUGGCAAACUAAUGUCCCUUUGCCCUAUGUAAUGGUGUUACAGACUGCCAUUUGUUUUGUCGAGCUUACUAACUGAUUUUUUUUACAUUAUCAUGAAUAUGCUUUAGGCAUGCCUCUUCUCUGUUUCGGUGAAACAAGGUUUAGGGAACUCUUUUUAAAGACAUGUGUAUACACUAUACAGAACACAUGUUUCAUCGUCUUCGCUUUUUUUCAUGAGUUGUUGAAAAGAUCUUAUGAAGCUUGAUUGAUAAUGUUUCAACUCAGAUGAAGUGGUCUGUAUGAUAAGCUUUUGUAGAUCCUGGGGAUCGUUAUACCUUCUGUACAAUUCUCUGUUCUGGAUUCAAAUAGUUUGGGAGUGUUGCAUGCCUUUGUAUUGUGUUCAUAAACCUUGCUAAGUUUCUCCAUGUCCAGUCUUUUCUUCUAAGAAAAAACUCUUUUGUUGCAUCCACAUUAACCAUAUGUAUUUCCAUUUUCAUUUUUGAAUUGUAAACUGUAGCUGCUUAAAACUUUGGUAUAAAAUAAAGCCCUUAUUGGUAAAUGAGACACGUUAUUAGCAAUGUUUCACAUUUUCUUACUUGCAAUACCAUGCUUGCCUGUUCAGGUCUUCCAAGACCUAAAUCAUGAAAUCCAGCACAUACAACACCUUUUUUUAAACUUCGGUUACCCUGACACAAGCCUCCGUUCAAUUUUCUUAUACGGAGGGGUUAGAAAUAGUUACCUUACGUGCUUGCUUUCAAAACUACAUCUACUGAUAAAUGUUUUUUUUUCAAACCACACUGGGUAUCAUGGAUGGAUGAGGUUGUGGCAGUAGUUCGUGGGUGCAGUAUCUAUCUUGAUAAAGCGAUCGAUCAUGGCGCAUUGGAGGCAGAACAAGAGAAAAGCUUUGGGCGUCUGUGGUGUUGAACAUUCAGUGUUUAUGUGCUUUGUACAUGCACGACCAGUUCAGUAACUAGAUGGUCUUUUCUACUUUACUGGUGCUGCUACUUUUUCACAUGCUAGCUUAUUUGAAAAGCGCCAACAAUGUGUGCCACAUGUAAACAGUCCAUGUUGAAAGAAUAGAAGCAGAAGUGUGGAGAUGAUGUAAUUGGUCAGUCAGGAAAUUCAGUCUCAAUGAGCUCAACUAACGACAUGUGUGAGUUGAGCCUGAGGUCAUUUUCAAAGUAACAGAAGUAUUUUACUUUCCUUUUCAUGUCAGUGGUUGAUGCUACUUACAUGUUGUAUCAGGUUAUCAAAGGGCAGCAAUCAUAUACAUUUUAUAAACAAAUAAAACACUUUUAUGAAGCAUGUAGUAGACAAAUAGUGCUACUGAUAAAUGAUUUUUUUUCAAAGCACAAAUGGUGUUUAGUGGGUCUCUGUGUCAGUUUGCGAAAUGGGAGAUUACAAAAAAAUACACAUAUUUUCAACAUGGCAUGGUCUUUAAUGAGAUUCUAUACUCUACCAAAUUAAAAUCUAUAGGUACAUGUCAUUGUAGACAACAAACCUCCAUUAUUUCUUUAUUAAAGAGGAUUGAUUUUAUUCGCAAAAAGGAGGGUUAAAUUUUGUUAGGAUUAAUUAAUGAUUGUUAAUUAUGGGAUAAUCCCUGCUUUCACUAACCGCAGGCAGUUGCAUCUGCCGCGUCGGUUCCCUGCCGAAUAGGCACCCUCCCUGAACAGACGCCUUCCUAUUGGUGUCUCUUCCCUUUGUAUAAAUAGCAGAUCUCAUCUAAUAUAGCACGCUCGCCGUUGAGCGAGUCGAUCGAUUCCGGCGAUCGCCGGAACAAGAAGAUCCACAAGCCAGAGGUGAGAAAGAAAAUGCCACGGUGCAGGAACGCAUCGCGGCUUCCGCGUUCUUCGUUGCCACCAUCGGAACGGCGCGGGGCCGUCGAACCAACCAUGCCGCAACCUGCGCCAGCGCCGCCACAGCCCGAUGUGCCGGCCUGGCCUCCCGCCGGUCCGGCUGCACCAAGGCUCGAGGCCGAUGAGAACAUCGACCCGGCGCUGGCGGCUCCGCGCCGCCUCCGUUCUGGUGCUCGGCGCAUGGCUGGGUAGUAUGCCCCUGUAUCACCACGACUUUGUGGUGGCCGAUCCGGUCGUCGCGGCGCCUCAGGAGGAGGGAACCGUCGUCAUCGACGAUGAAGAAGUUGGGGACGCGCCGCUGCAGCAUCCGACCCCGGCGGUUGUAGAGGCCGAUGGCGGCGCGCCGCUCCCGAUGCUGCUGACGAUGGCGCACAUCCCGGCCACACAUCAAGUGCAAGUUCAUGACGGUGACACGCUCGCCUUCGUGUCCGCGCUGACCGGAGCCUCCGCCUUCUGCCUUCGGCUCUGGCGUGAGAGGUUCCACUAGCACCAUGGUCGUCGCCGACGUCGCACCACCGGACUUGCCAUCCCCGACGUCCGCAACUCCUCCGCCUUCGCCGCGCAUAGACGCUCGCCGAC
RNAcentral lists this ribosomal RNA (3462 nucleotides) under Triticum aestivum (bread wheat). RNAcentral's name for it is "partial small subunit ribosomal RNA". Lineage: Eukaryota; Viridiplantae; Streptophyta; Magnoliopsida; Poales; Poaceae. The record is from RNAcentral.